This 2334-nucleotide ribosomal RNA is filed under the name bioreactor sludge metagenome. Its description in RNAcentral is "bacterial LSU rRNA". It matches the Rfam family "Bacterial large subunit ribosomal RNA", at positions 3 to 2008 of the family's 2925-position model. The record is from RNAcentral.
UCAAGCUACGAAGGGUGUGCGAUGAAUGCCUAGGGACGAGUUGCCGAAGAAGGACGCGUAAGCGGCGAUACGCCGCGGGGAGCUGCACAGAAGCGAUGAUCCGCGGAUUUCCGAAUGGGGAAACCCGCCAGGGGUAAUGCCUUGGUACCCACAUCUGAAUCCAUAGGGUGUGAGGAGGGAACCGGGUGAACUGAAACAUCUAAUUAACCCGAGGAAAAGAACUCGAAGAGACUCCGUAAGUAGCGGCGAGCGAAAGCGGAAGAGCCUAAACCAGGGGGCUUGCCCUCUGGGGUCGUGGGGCCACCACUAAGCUUUCGAAACUAUGGGUUCGACCUAUAGUUUUGGAAGCUUAGAAAAGAAGAUCGAUACUGGUUAGUAGAAUGCUCUGGAAAGGGCAUCCAUAGAGGGUGACAGGCCCGUAUACCAAAACCAAGUCGAAUUCAGGUGGUACCCGAGUAGCACGGAUCACGAGGAAUUCCGUGUGAAUCUGUCCGGACCACCGGAUAAGGCUAAGUACGACUCGUCACCGAUAGUGCAUCCAGUACCGUGAGGGAAAGGUGAAAAGAACCCCGGGAGGGGAGUGAAAUAGAACCUGAAAUCGCACGACCCGCAAACAGUCAGAGCACCAUGUCGGGAGUAAUCCUGUCAAGUGUGAUGGCGUACCUUUUGCAGAAUGAGCCUGCGAGUUACUAGUGCCGGCAAGGUUAAGUGUCUCAGACACGGAGCCGGAGGGAAACCGAGUCCGAAUAGGGCGUCAAGUCGGUAUUAGUAGACCCGAAACUGCGUGAUCUAGCCAUGGUCAGGGUGAAGUGUUGGUAACACAACAUGGAGGCCCGAACUCAUUGACGUUGAAAAGUCUCGGGAUGAACUGUGGUUAGUCCGGUGAAAUGCCAAUCGAACGCAGAGAUAGCUGGUUCUCCCCGAAAUGCAUUUGGGUGCAGCGUUACGUGUUUUCAUACGGGGGUAGAGCACUGAAUGGGCUAGGGGGCCUACCAGCUUACUGAACCCAACCAAACUCCGAAUACCGUAUGAUUAGCGUAGCAGUGAGACUGCGAGGGAUAAGCUCCGUGGUCAAAAGGAAAACAGUCCAGAUCGUCAGCUAAGGGCCCUAAACAUAGACUAAGUGUGAAACGAUGUGAAGUCGCGUAAACAGCCAGGAGGUUGGCUUAGAAGCAGCCACCCUUUAAAAAGUGCGUAAUAGCUUACUGGCCGAAUGUGACUUUGCGCGGAUAAUGUAAGGGGGCUAAAGUCUAUUCCCGAAGCUACGGGAUCCCGCAAGAGCGGUGAUCGGUAGGGGAGCGUCCUGUUCUGCGGUGAAGCCUGAGCGUAAGCACAGGUGGAGCGUACAGGAGCGAGAAUGCAGGCAUGAGUAGCGAUCACAGGGGUGAGAAUCCCCUGCGCCGAAAACCUAAGGUUUCUCCGGCUAUGUUCGUCAGACGGAGGUUAGGCGGUCCCUAAGGCGAGGCCAGAAGGCGUAGCCGAUGGACAUCCGGUUGAAAUUCCGGACCUUGGUGCAGUAGCGAUGGAGGGACGCUUCUAUAGGUUCCAUCCCACACCGUUGGUUGUUGUGGGCUACCGGGAUAACCCAGCCGUUUAAUAGAUGGCUUUUCAAAGGGUGGGGCCGGGGGGAAGGGAUGGCUUCGGCUUGAACGAACUGGGACUGAAGGGGGCCGAGAAAAGCUUCUAAGCAUAUACUGCAUCAAACCGUACUGCAAACCGACACAGGUAGGUGAGUCGAGGAGACUCAGGCGUUCGAGAGAACUCUCGUUAAGGAACUAGGCAAACGAGCCCCGUAACUUUGGAAGAAGGGGCGCCCCGCAAGGGGCCGCAGCGAAGCAGCCCAGGCGACUGUUUACCAAAAACACAGGUCUCUGCUAAGACGAAAGUCGAUGUAUAGGGGCUGACGCCUGCCCAAUGCCAGUCCAUUAAGCGGAGAUGUCAGGAGCAAUCUGAAGCAUUGAAGUGAAGUGCUGGUGAAUGGCGGCCGUAACUCUAACGGUCCUAAGGUAGGAAUUAAUGCAACUGCCUUAGUAAAAUCUAGCUAUAUGCUGGGAAGUCUGAGUAUCUCGGAUUACGAAUCGAAAGAUCGUGACAAUAUCCGAGCGCAGAUCAUCAGCAGGAAAGAUCCCGACCCUGUCGGGAAAUCCUCAGAGGCCAUACGCUAGAUAUUCGAAGGAUGGCACCUUCGGAUAAAGAAAUGGUCCCAUCUGCAUGGCGACAUGCAGGGAUGAUCCAGCUCAAGAUGGAUCGUCCACUCGAUCAUAAAGGUCGAGCAAGACAAUGAGCGAAAUUCCUUGUCGGCUAAAUACCGACCCGCAUGAAAGGCGUAACGAC